Molecule: ribosomal RNA, 301 nt
Filed under: uncultured bacterium
Lineage: Bacteria
Description: partial 16S ribosomal RNA
Rfam family: Bacterial small subunit ribosomal RNA
Source: RNAcentral
CAGCGCCGCGGUAAUACGUAGGUGGCAAGCGUUGUCCGGAAUUAUUGGGCGUAAAGGGCUCGCAGGCGGUUUCUUAAGUCUGAUGUGAAAGCCCCCGGCUCAACCGGGGAGGGUCAUUGGAAACUGGGAAACUUGAGUGCAGAAGAGGAGAGUGGAAUUCCACGUGUAGCGGUUAAAUGCGUAGAGAUGUGGAGGCACACCAGUGGCGAAGGCGACUCUCUGGUCUGUAACUGACGCUGAGGAGCGAAAGCGUGGGGAGCGAACAGGAUUAGAUACCCGCGUAGUCCCUGUCUCUUAUACA